CGCUCAGUAAUCAGUAUAGUUUAUUCGAUUGUGAAUCCACAUGGAUAACCGUGGAAAAUCUAGAGCUAAUACAUGCGAAAAAAGCUAUUAUUAUAUAUGUAAAAGUAUAUAGUAAAGCGAUGCAUUUAUUAGAUUAGGACCAAUAGCAUUGUUAGUAUAUUUAAUAUAUGUUAUGUAUAUAUAAUAUAUAUUAAUUAUACUAGUUAAAUACAAUGUUACGUGGUGAGUCUGGAUAACUGUGCCGAUCGUAUGGCCUUGAGCCGGCGACAUUUCGAUUAAAUUUCUGCCCUAUCAACUUGUUGGUAAGGUAGUGGCUUACCAAGGUGAUAACGGGUAACGGGGAAUCAGGGUUCGAUUCCGGAGAGGGAGCCUGAGAAACGGCUACCACAUCCAAGGAAGGCAGCAGGCGCGCAAAUUACCCAAUCCAGACACUGGGAGGUGGUGACGAGAAAUACCAGGUCGUUCCCAACAGGAUUCGACACUGGAAUGAGUGUAAUUUAAGCAUUUACACGAGUAACAACUGGAGGGCAAGUCUGGUGCCAGCAGCCGCGGUAAUUCCAGCUCCAGUAGCGUAUUCUAAAGUUGCUGCGGUUAAAACGCUCGUAGUUGGACAAGAGAGUAAUCAAGUGCGGGCGGGGAAUGUAGUACACUAUAUGUUGUAUGACUACUUAUUUGUACAUUAAUAUACAUAUUACAUAUGUAUAUGAUAUACUUAGUUAUAUUGUAUAUAAUAUGUUAUGUUAUUAAGUACAAUGUAGUAUAUAGGAUAUAGAUGUAGCAUUUGUCGACCAUGCUGCUUGAUUACUUGUAAUAUUUCGUGAGGAUAGCGUGUGGCCUUAAUUGUGUUGUGCGCUAUAUCUUGCGUAGUGUGCCUUGAAUAAAUCAUAGUGCUCAAAGCAAGCCUAAGCUUGAAUGUUAAUAGCAUGGAACGAAUGUUUUGUGGAAGUGUAAUAAUAUGAAUUAAUGUUAAAAGUUAAUUUAUAUUAAUACACAGCACCAACCACGAAGCGGAACAUUGGUUGCCGUCUUCGGGUGAUGAUUAAGAGGGGCAUUUGGGGGCAUUAGUAUUUGGCCGCGAGAGGUGAAAUUCUUAGACCGGCCAAGGACUAACAAGUGCGAAAGCAUUUGCCAAGUAUGUUCCCUUUAAUCAAGAACGAAAGUGAGAGGUUCGAAGACGAUCAGAUACCGUCCUAGUUCUCACUGUAAACGAUGCCAACCCGGGAUCAGUCCGGAAUGUAUGUAAUGGAUCCAGGUUGGUCCCCCUGGGAAACCUUGAGUUUUUGGGUUCCGGGGGGAGUAUGGUUGCAAGGCUGAAACUUAAAGGAAUUGACGGAAGGGCACCACCAGGAGUGGAGCCUGCGGCUUAAUUUGACUCAACACGGGAAAACUCACCUGGUCCGGACAUCGAUAGGAUUGACAGACUAACAGAUCUUUCAUGAUACGGUGGGUGGUGGUGCAUGGCCGUUCUUAGUUCGUGGAGUGAUCUGUCUGGUCGAUUCCGAUAACGAACGAGAUCACGGUCUCCAUUUAGGGUGCUAAAGAUUUAUAUAUACAUAUUAUGAUAUUUGUAAAUAUAAUAUUAUUUUUUAAGUGGUAUUAUAUUUAUUUGUAUUGUAAUAGUUAUAUAAAUUUUUGGUGUUCGCGCAGAAAUGUACGUCCCUAUGGAGAGACAGCCGGAUUGUAAGCCGGAGGAAGCGUGGCAAUAACAGGUCUGUGAUGCCCUUCGAUGUUCAGGGCUGCACGCGCGCUACAAUGAUAACGACAGCGAGAACCUGGACUGAAAAGUUCUGGGAAAUCUUGUAAAUCGUUAUCGUGAUGGGGAUUGAGCAUUGUAAUUAUUGCUCAUGAAAUAGGAAUUCCUUGUAAUUGCGACUCACUUAGGUCGUAAUGAAUGCGUCCCCGCCCUUUGUACACACCGCCCGUCGCUACUACCGAGUGAAUGGUGUCAUGAUGUCUUGGGACUGGACGUUGUUGGCAGUGCAAACUGCGGACGAUGCUAGGAGCAAGACAAAAUGGCCCUAUUUCGAGGAAGUAAAAGU
This 2039-nucleotide ribosomal RNA is filed under the name Myxidium anatidum. RNAcentral's name for it is "bacterial SSU rRNA". It matches the Rfam family "Eukaryotic small subunit ribosomal RNA". The record is from RNAcentral. Lineage: Eukaryota; Metazoa; Cnidaria; Myxozoa; Bivalvulida; Myxidiidae.